Molecule: ribosomal RNA, 280 nt
Filed under: uncultured prokaryote
Description: partial 16S ribosomal RNA
Rfam family: Bacterial small subunit ribosomal RNA
Source: RNAcentral
UACGUAGGGGCUAGCGUUAUCCGGAAUUACUGGGCGUAAAGGGUGCGUAGGUGGUUUCUUAAGCCAGAAGUGAAAGGCUACGGCUCAACCGUAGUAAGCUUUUGGAACUGUAAGACUUGAGUGCAGAAGAGGGAAGUGGAAUUCCAUGUGUAGCGGUGAAAUGCGUAGAGAUAUGGAGGAACACCAGUGGCGAAGGCGGCUUCCUGGUCUGUAACUGACACUGAGGCGCGAAAGCGUGGGGAGCAAACAGGAUUAGAUACCCGGGUAGUCCCUGAGCGGG